GAUGAACGCUAGCGAUAGGCCUAACACAUGCAAGUCGAGGGGCAUCACAUGAAGUAGCAAUACGGAUGGUGGCGACCGGCGCACGGGUGAGUAACACGUAUGCAACCUGCCUUCAACAAGGGCAUAACCCGUUGAAAGACGGACUAAUUCCCUAUAACACAGGGGUCCCGCAUGGGAAUAUUUGUUAAAGAUUAAUCGGUUGAAGAUGGGCAUGCGUUCCAUUAGCUAGUUGGCGGGGUAACGGCCCACCAAGGCAACGAUGGAUAGGGGAACUGAGAGGUUUAUCCCCCACACUGGUACUGAGACACGGACCAGACUCCUACGGGAGGCAGCAGUGAGGAAUAUUGGUCAAUGGACGCAAGUCUGAACCAGCCACGUCGCGUGAAGGAAGACGGCCCUACGGGUUGUAAACUUCUUUUGUAAGGGAAUAAAGUGGGCCACGUGUGGCUUUUUGCAUGUACCUUACGAAUAAGGAUCGGCUAACUCCGUGCCAGCAGCCGCGGUAAUUCACUA
Molecule: ribosomal RNA, 513 nt
Filed under: uncultured bacterium
Lineage: Bacteria
Description: bacterial SSU rRNA
Rfam family: Bacterial small subunit ribosomal RNA
Source: RNAcentral